This 497-nucleotide ribosomal RNA is filed under the name uncultured bacterium. Its description in RNAcentral is "partial 16S ribosomal RNA". It matches the Rfam family "Bacterial small subunit ribosomal RNA", at positions 28 to 507 of the family's 1533-position model. The record is from RNAcentral.
GAUGAACGCUGGCGGCGUGCCUAAUACAUGCAAGUCGAGCGAACAGAUAAGGAGCUUGCUCCUUUGACGUUAGCGGCGGACGGGUGAGUACCACGUGGGUAACCUACCUAUAAGACUGGAAUAACUCCGGGAAACCGGGGCUAAUGCCGGAUAACAUUUAGAACCGCAUGGUUCUAAAGUGAAAGAUGGUUUUGCUAUCACUUAUAGAUGGACCCGCGCCGUAUUAGCUAGUUGGUAAGGUAACGGCUUACCAAGGCAACGAUACGUAGCCGACCUGAGAGGGUGAUCGGCCACACUGGAACUGAGACACGGUCCAGACUCCUACGGGAGGCAGCAGUAGGGAAUCUUCCGCAAUGGGCGAAAGCCUGACGGAGCAACGCCGCGUGAGUGAUGAAGGUCUUCGGAUCGUAAAACUCUGUUAUUAGGGAAGAACAAAUGUGUAAGUAACUGUGCACGUCUUGACGGUACCUAAUCAGAAAGCCACGGCUAACUACGUG